AAAUUAGAGUUGGGAAUGAUAGGUUAAGUCAGUGUCUAAAUGACAAGACUAGCAAGACGAGUAUUACAUCACUCGGUACUUGUGAGUGUGCUCGAGUCUGACAAGAACGUAAGGUCUUAAAGGUGUGAGGAAUGUGGCAUCCCCAGAAGUUGCAAUAGUCCUAUAUUUUAGAUAUAAUAGGGUUAAACUUUUUAACCAAAUUAUAGUAUUUUGAGUAGUGGUUAGGCUCAAAAGAUUAAAAAAAUUAAGCAUGCUAUGG
Molecule: long non-coding RNA, 259 nt
Filed under: Ananas comosus (pineapple)
Lineage: Eukaryota; Viridiplantae; Streptophyta; Magnoliopsida; Poales; Bromeliaceae
Description: long non-coding RNA (ACOM_LNC005104)
Source: RNAcentral